CCUACGGGUGGCAGCAGUGGGGAAUAUUGCACAAUGGGGGAAACCCUGAUGCAGCAACGCCGCGUGAGUGAAGAAGUAUUUCGGUAUGUAAAGCUCUAUCAGCAGGGAAGAAGAUGACGGUACCUGACCACGAAUCCCCGGCUAACUACGUGCCAGCAGCCGCGGUAAUACGUAGGGGGCAAGCGUUAUCCGGAUUUACUGGGUGGAAAGGGAGCGCAGACGGCAGGGCAAGUCUGGAGUGAAAGCCCGGGGCCCAACCCCGGAACUGCUCUGGAAACUGUGCGGCUAGAGUACUGGAGGGGCAGGCGGAAUUCCUAGUGUAGCGGUGAAAUGCGUAGAUAUCAGGAGGAACACCAGUGGCGAAGGCGGUCUGCUGGACAGCAACUGACGGUGAGGCGCGAAAGCGUGGGGAGCAAACAGGAUUAGAUACCCGUGUAGUC
RNAcentral lists this ribosomal RNA (440 nucleotides) under uncultured bacterium. Its description in RNAcentral is "partial 16S ribosomal RNA". It matches the Rfam family "Bacterial small subunit ribosomal RNA", at positions 338 to 795 of the family's 1533-position model. The record is from RNAcentral.